Molecule: ribosomal RNA, 270 nt
Filed under: uncultured archaeon
Lineage: Archaea
Description: partial 16S ribosomal RNA
Rfam family: Archaeal small subunit ribosomal RNA
Source: RNAcentral
CAGCGCCACGAGUGGUAACCGCGAUUAUUGGGCCUAAGCGUCCGUAGCAGGUUUGACAAAUCUUUUGUGAAAUUGUGCGGCUUAACCGUACAACGUGCAAGAGACACUAUCAAACUCGAGAUCGGGAGGAGUCAGAAGUAUUCCAGGGGGAGCGGUAAAAUGUUAUAAUCCCUGGAGGACUACCUAUGGCGAAGGCAUCUGACCAGAACGAAUCUGACUGUGAGGGACGAAAGCCAGGGGAGCGAACCGGAUUAGAUACCCGAGUAGUCC